This is a long non-coding RNA of Camelus dromedarius (Arabian camel), 727 nucleotides long. RefSeq lists it as uncharacterized. The transcript is spliced from 5 exons. NCBI's taxonomy places the organism in Eukaryota, Metazoa, Chordata, Mammalia, Artiodactyla, Camelidae. The record is from RefSeq and is a predicted model, not a curated record.
AAUCUUGUUUCCCUCUUUCAUUUCUUGUAGGUUGAUUUUCCCCAUGGCUGCUAUUAUCCAUCACAAAUGUCAUUCAUGACCAUACCUGGCACAAACUGGUUCCUCUUGCCAGGAACACUGUUUCUUCUGUACCUUUUGAUCUCGGACAUCCAACUCUAACUCUGCUCCUCCAUUAAGAAUCUCCUCCCCUCCCCGUAUAUUAUUGUGCUAGCUGGUUAAAGUGACUUUUGCAAAGGUAUGUGCAAUCUUACCUGCUCGGGGAAAGAUUUUUGGAGCUGUCAAGCUGCUCUGGCUCAGGGUUGUCCCCAUCAUGACUGCUUUCAAGUAUUUCUUCAUUCUGAAGUGAAAGAAAUUUUGUUUGCCCUUCAAGCUUCCUUCAGGAACAUCAAGGACUCAUUCUCAAUAGCAGUUCCUCCUCUGUGGCAUUACAAUGUCUGAAACACCCACUGGACUUUGAGCUCCAGCCUUAUUCAUCUUUGAAUCUACAACAUGCAAUACCUUCAGAAAGAAUAUUGGUCCUUUGAUUCAAAUAAUGGACCAAGAAAACUGACCACAGACCAACCUACCAAUUGCUGCUAUAUUUCUUUGUUAGAGUUUCCUUAUGAGUCUUACUGAAUUAUAAGAUGACAUUCUUUUAAAGCAGAGCAACAAGUUUCAUGUAAAAUCAUAUCCUGCUUCCCUUCAGUUAUCCUGACUUGGAGAAACUUCUAGGGCAUCCUGAAGAAGA